RNAcentral lists this ribosomal RNA (497 nucleotides) under uncultured bacterium. Its description in RNAcentral is "partial 16S ribosomal RNA". It matches the Rfam family "Bacterial small subunit ribosomal RNA", at positions 28 to 507 of the family's 1533-position model. The record is from RNAcentral.
GAUGAACGCUGGCGGCGUGCCUAAUACAUGCAAGUCGAGCGAACAGAUGAGGAGCUUGCUCCUCUGACGUUAGCGGCGGACGGGUGAGUAACACGUGGAUAACCUACCUAUAAGACUGGGAUAACUUCGGGAAACCGGAGCUAAUACCAGAUAAUAUAUUGCACCGCAUGGUUCAAUAGUGAAAGAUGGUUUUGCUGUUACUUAUAUAUGGAUCCGCGCCGCAUUAGCUAGUUGGUAAGGUAACGGCUUACCAAGGCAACGAUGCAUAGCCGACCUGGGAGGGUGAGCGGCCACACUGGGACUGGAAGACGGGCCAGACUCCUACGGAGGGAAGCAGUAGGGAAUCAUCCGCAAUGGGCGAAAGCCAGACGGAGCAACGCCGCGUGAGUUAUGAAGGUCUUCGGAUCUGAAAACACUAUUAUUAGGGAAGAACAAAUGUGUAAGUAACUAUGCACGUCAUGACGGUACCUAAUCAGUAAGCCACGGCUAACUACGUG